Molecule: ribosomal RNA, 545 nt
Filed under: uncultured bacterium
Lineage: Bacteria
Description: bacterial SSU rRNA
Rfam family: Bacterial small subunit ribosomal RNA
Source: RNAcentral
GGGUGAGUAACACGUGAGUAACCUGCCCUUGACUCUGGGAUAACUGCUAGAAAUGGUAGCUAAUACCGGAUACGACCCUCGGCCGCAUGGUCAGGGGGUGGAAAGAAUUUUGGUCAAGGAUGGACUCGCGGCCUAUCAGGUAGUUGGUGAGGUAAUGGCUCACCAAGCCUACGACGGGUAGCCGGCCUGAGAGGGUGACCGGCCACACUGGGACUGAGACACGGCCCAGACUCCUACGGGAGGCAGCAGUGGGGAAUAUUGCACAAUGGGCGAAAGCCUGAUGCAGCAACGCCGCGUGAGGGACGACGGCCUUCGGGUUGUAAACCUCUUUUAGUAGGGAAGAAGCGAAAGUGACGGUACCUGCAGAAAAAGCACCGGCUAACUACGUGCCAGCAGCCGCGGUAAUACGUAGGGUGCAAGCGUUGUCCGGAAUUAUUGGGCGUAAAGAGCUCGUAGGCGGUUUGUCGCGUCUGCUGUGAAAUCCGGAGGCUCAACCUCCGGCCUGCAGUGGGUACGGGCAGACUAGAGUGCGGUAGGGGAGAUUG